ACGAGUGGCGAACUGGUGAGUAACACGUGGGUAACCUGCCCUUGAAGUAGGGGAUAACACUUGGAAACAGGUGCUAAUACCGUAUAACAACCAAAACCACCUGGUUUUGGUUUAAAAGAUGGCUUCGGCUAUCACUUUAGGAUGGACCCGCGGCGUAUUAGCUUGUUGGUAAGGUAACGGCCUACCAAGGCAAUGAUACGUAGCCGACCUGAGAGGGUAAUCGGCCACAUUGGGACUGAGACACGGCCCAAACUCCUACGGGAGGCAGCAGUAGGGAAUCUUCCACAAUGGACGAAAGUCUGAUGGAGCAACGCCGCGUGAGUGAUGAAGGGUUUCGGCUCGUAAAACUCUGUUGUUGGAGAAGAACAGGUGUGAGAGUAACUGUUCACAUCUUGACGGUAUCCAACCAGAAAGCCACGGCUAACUACGUGCCAGCAGCCGCGGUAAUACGUAGGUGGCAAGCGUUGUCCGGAUUUAUUGGGCGUAAAGCGAGCGCAGGCGGUUUCUUAGGUCUGAUGUGAAAGCCUUCGGCUUAACCGGAGAAGUGCAUCGGAAACCAGGAGACUUGAGUGCAGAAGAGGACAGUGGAACUCUAUGUGUAGCGGUGAAAUGCGUAGAUAUAUGGAAGAACACCAGUGGCGAAGGCGGCUGUCUGGUCUGUAACUGACGCUGAGGCUCGAAAGCAUGGGUAGCGAACAGGAUUAGAUACCCUGGUAGUCCAUG
RNAcentral lists this ribosomal RNA (723 nucleotides) under uncultured bacterium. RNAcentral's name for it is "bacterial SSU rRNA". It matches the Rfam family "Bacterial small subunit ribosomal RNA", at positions 91 to 799 of the family's 1533-position model. The record is from RNAcentral.